This is a long non-coding RNA of Amphiprion ocellaris (clown anemonefish), 704 nucleotides long. The record is from Ensembl. NCBI's taxonomy places the organism in Eukaryota, Metazoa, Chordata, Actinopteri, Pomacentridae.
GUUCCUACUCCACCAGCCCCAGGUACCAGGCCUGCUCCUCCAGGACCUCGUCCAGCUGACCCAACUCCUCCUGCAAGUCCACCAGCUCCACCAGCUGCACCUCCUGAUCCAAGUCCAGUUCCAGUAGCAGGACCGUCUCCUCUUCCUACUGCUGUUGCACCACCAGAAACACCUCCUGCUGGUCCUGCUCUGGUAGGUCCCCCUCCUACUCCUCCUGGCCCUCCACCUGUGCCUCCUGUACCACCUCUCUCUCCAUCGGGGCCAUCUUCUCCAUCUCCUUCACCUGGUGUGUCACCUCGAGGGACACCUGCAGACGGAGCCCAGAUGAUCACCAGACCAGUUUUGAGUAUAGAACUAAGACUGGAACCAAGGACUGAGUCUAGGACAAGGGAAUCUAUUCUACUAGGAGCCUGGUGUUGGCCAUGGAGUCUGUGUGCCAUCCUCUGUUAACUUCAGAUCAUUACAUCAUUUGACCUGAAUAUUCAUGUCCCUAGUGCUCCUCCAGUCCCUGGACCAUAACCACCUGCUGCUGGGCCACCAAAUCUUCCAUCUAGACCAGAUCCAGGGGCUCCGCCACCACCAGCACCGCCUGGUCCAAAGCCACCUGGUCCACCUCCUGUUCCAAUACCAGAACCAGGUGUCCCAGCCACCCCUACUCCUGCUCCAGGUCCACCACCAGUUGUUACUCCAACACCUCGUCCAGG